Molecule: ribosomal RNA, 247 nt
Filed under: Salmonella enterica
Lineage: Bacteria; Pseudomonadati; Pseudomonadota; Gammaproteobacteria; Enterobacterales; Enterobacteriaceae
Also listed under: 3 other names
Description: partial 16S ribosomal RNA
Rfam family: Bacterial small subunit ribosomal RNA
Source: RNAcentral
AAAUUGAAGAGUUUGAUCAUGGCUCAGAUUGAACGCUGGCGGCAGGCCUAACACAUGCAAGUCGAACGGUAGCACAGAGAGCUUGCUCUCGGGUGACGAGUGGCGGACGGGUGAGUAAUGUCUGGGAAACUGCCUGAUGGAGGGGGAUAACUACUGGAAACGGUGGCUAAUACCGCAUAAUGUCGCAAGACCAAAGAGGGGGACCUUCGGGCCUCUUGCCAUCAGAUGUGCCCAGAUGGGAUUAGCU